GGGGAGAUACUCAAGCGGCCAACGAGGGCAGACUGUAAAUCUGCUGUGUAAACUUCGUAGGUUCGAAUCCUACUCUCCCCACUA
RNAcentral lists this transfer RNA (84 nucleotides) under Flavobacterium fryxellicola. Its description in RNAcentral is "tRNA-Tyr". It matches the Rfam family "tRNA". From Rfam's summary of the family: Transfer RNA (tRNA) molecules are approximately 80 nucleotides in length. Lineage: Bacteria; Pseudomonadati; Bacteroidota; Flavobacteriia; Flavobacteriales; Flavobacteriaceae. The record is from RNAcentral.